UUGGUGGUGCUUGGCUUUGCGGCUGAUUUAAUGAGAGUGGAAGGCUUUGUUGUUGUGAAUUUUUCCUCUAUUCAUCCAAAAGAGGAGGAAAGGGGAAAGAAAAAGAAAUAAGGUAGCUACUCUCAGCUGCUUUUCCUGGUGAAAAGGAAUGACAACUAAUACCUGAGGGCACUUCCUUAUCUCAAGCCUGUCAACACAGACAAGCCAUAUCAUUCUCCAGGAGCUUUACUCAAUGGGAAAAAGCCAUCCACCAAUGGGAGUAAGCCCUUUCUUGGAAACAGUGGCGCUCUAUCUCUGGCUGUGGCUUGGUAACCUUUAUCGUACGGUGUUUAUGGAAGAAUGGUUCCUCCCUCACUCUGCCAAAAUACUGAGACUUUCUUUCAUUUCCUGAUUUCAAAGCAAAGGCUGAGAUGUUCUCGGCUUAAAGGAAACAGGAUGAGGUGAGGAGGCAGGAAGCGAUGGACAAAGAUGAGAUUAUGGGGUGAGGAGAGAAGAUCAGGUUUGAGAUUCAAAGGAUGUGCUGACCGGAGGUGGAGAUGAAAAUGUGAGUGAGUUUGUGGGAAUAUUGCUCUCUUAGACAUCUUGCUCAUCCUUCAUAUUUGAGGAUCAAAACUUCAAUGAGGAUGCACUUUCAAAGCUCUGCUGGAAAGAUGCAAGAAAAUCAAACCACAGAAAGAGAAUUAAGAAAAGGAAAUGCUUGUAAAAGUUGAACGGACUCUUGCGUUUAUGAAUGUACUGGUAAGUAAAUAAGUCACUAAAAUGAACAAGGGGUAGAACGAGCAUACAUUGCUUUGCUGCAGAAUGCCAUCCAAAGCCAUCAAAACCACAUCUUACAUGAACUGACUAAAACCCCUUUCAUCUAAGCUGGUUUUAAGCUUUGAAAUCUUACCCGAAAAGGUUUGGUUUUAUUGACAUUCACCUUGGAAAACUCAAACAGAAGCACAAGGAGCCACUUGACUUUAACAUUGUCCUGCAGAACAUAAUACAAACUCCAGGCAUCAACUAAAGUCUAAGCAUCCGCCGCACCAUAAAUAAUAAAACAUAAAAAGUAAAAAAUUAAAAUCACCCACACAAGCAAGGCUUUCCAUAAAAGCAGGUUUUAAGAAGUGUAUAAAGAAAGUACUAAUUAAACAAACCUCAUGUCCUCA
Non-coding RNA from Xyrichtys novacula (pearly razorfish), 1148 nucleotides. The record is from the annotation of a GenBank genome assembly. Lineage: Eukaryota; Metazoa; Chordata; Actinopteri; Labriformes; Labridae.